ACUUCACUGGGAGCAUGAUUCCUCUCAGCCUGGUUAACGCUGACUCAUCCUUUCCUACUUAGUUUGGAUUUUAUCUCCUUAUUUCUUCCUUGACGCUUCUAUCCUAAUUUCUGAUAGCCCUUCAGGCUGACUUAGGGACUGUUUAGAGCAGAAACUGCUGACAGAGUGAAUUGAAUGAAACAAAAGAUGCCCAAUUACAAGACAGUGUGAGUGUGUAUGAGGGUACAUACAGGACCACAGGCAGCAAACACACAAUACGUCAGAACCCCAUGUCUGACGGGAUAAACAAUUUCAUUUGUCUAUGACAGCAGUUCAACGUAUGCAUUCUGCACUAGAAGGGAGUGGGAUAUGAAAGGAUGGGGCCCAGACAAAUGUCUGGAUGGAAAAUGGCAAGAAA
Bos taurus (domestic cattle) is the source of this 397-nucleotide long non-coding RNA. The record is from Ensembl. NCBI's taxonomy places the organism in Eukaryota, Metazoa, Chordata, Mammalia, Artiodactyla, Bovidae.